Molecule: non-coding RNA, 135 nt
Organism: Brachypodium distachyon (stiff brome)
Lineage: Eukaryota; Viridiplantae; Streptophyta; Magnoliopsida; Poales; Poaceae
Source: Rfam
CUGAUAAUCCCUCCGUCCAACAAAGGAUGUCUCAACUUUGACUAAAUUUGAAUGUAUCUAUACACUAAGUCAUGUUUAGAUACAUUCAAUUUUAACAAACUUGAGACAUCUUUUGUUGGACGGAGGAAGUAGAAG